RNAcentral lists this ribosomal RNA (54 nucleotides) under Verrucomicrobiota bacterium. RNAcentral describes it as "Verrucomicrobia bacterium partial 23S ribosomal RNA". The record is from RNAcentral. Lineage: Bacteria; Pseudomonadati; Verrucomicrobiota.
UGAUCAAGCUACAAAGAGCGCAUCAUGGAUGCCUUGGUGCCAAUAGGCGAUGAA